RNAcentral lists this ribosomal RNA (220 nucleotides) under uncultured Staphylococcus sp. Its description in RNAcentral is "partial 16S ribosomal RNA". It matches the Rfam family "Bacterial small subunit ribosomal RNA", at positions 142 to 354 of the family's 1533-position model. Lineage: Bacteria; Bacillati; Bacillota; Bacilli; Caryophanales; Staphylococcaceae. The record is from RNAcentral.
AACGUUACCGGGGAAACCGGAGCUAAUACCGGAUAAUAUAUGAACCGCAUGGUUCAAUAGUGAAAGACGGUUUUGCUGUCACUUAUAGAUGGAUCCGCGCCGCAUUAGCUAGUUGGUAAGGUAACGGCUUACCAAGGCAACGAUGCGUAGCCGACCUGAGAGGGUGAUCGGCCACACUGGAACUGAGACACGGUCCAGACUCCUACGGGAGGCAGCAGGA